AUGCAAAUUCCAUCAAAAGGACUUUUCCAAGGCUUGUAAUGAGGCUAGGCUAACAAGAAAAAUUGGUUUUUCUGGAAUGCAAAAUCCUUGAGUUAAGAGAGCUACCAUAAUAUUCAACAUUUAAGUACAACUCUCUUCCUCACCAAUCUCACUUAUUCCCAACUUUUUCCAUUUUCUUUUGCAUUGAGCCCAUCUUCAUGCUUUUCUUCUUUUCUUUUCUUUUUCUCAUGUAUUUUUCUUUCACAACAUUUGAGCUCAAUGCUUUUCAAUUGCCUUUCAAUUUCCCCCAUGUAACCCCAAACUUGAAUCUUUUCAUCAC
Molecule: long non-coding RNA, 319 nt
Filed under: Vigna radiata
Lineage: Eukaryota; Viridiplantae; Streptophyta; Magnoliopsida; Fabales; Fabaceae
Description: long non-coding RNA (VRAD_LNC015015)
Source: RNAcentral